This 360-nucleotide ribosomal RNA is filed under the name uncultured bacterium. RNAcentral's name for it is "bacterial SSU rRNA". It matches the Rfam family "Archaeal small subunit ribosomal RNA", at positions 724 to 1085 of the family's 1478-position model. The record is from RNAcentral.
AGUGAAUAGAUACCCCGGUAGUCCCAGCCGUAAACGAUGCUCGCUAGGUGUCAGGCAUGGCGCGACCGUGUCUGGUGCCGCAGGGAAGCCGUGAAGCGAGCCACCUGGGAAGUACGGCCGCAAGGCUGAAACUUAAAGGAAUUGGCGGGGGAGCACAACAACGGGUGGAGCCUGCGGUUUAAUUGGACUCAACGCCGGACAACUCACCGGGGGCGACAGCAAUAUGUAGGCCAAGCUGAAGACUUUGCCUGAAUCGCUGAGAGGAGGUGCAUGGCCGUCGCCAGUUCGUACUGUGAAGCAUCCUGUUAAGUCAGGCAACGAGCGAGACCCGUGCCCACUGUUACCAGCAUGUCCUGGUAC